CAAUAGCCUGGAUGAUUCAGAUG
Molecule: microRNA, 23 nt
Filed under: Sarcophilus harrisii (Tasmanian devil)
Lineage: Eukaryota; Metazoa; Chordata; Mammalia; Dasyuromorphia; Dasyuridae
Also listed under: 2 other names
Description: Sha-Mir-7332_5p* (star (passenger))
Source: RNAcentral